AUGGGGGGGGGGGGGAGGAGGGACUCUUCAACCCACCGCACUCUCUUCCUGUUGCAGUUCCUGUUUGUGAUUAUCACGUGUCUGUGUCAGGUGAUGGUCCUGUCCCUAAGAGUGAGGCUAUCUUCAUUCUGGACCAUCAGCCACUGGUGCCAAGCCCCUCAAGCAAGAACUCCAAGCACAUAUCCAUUAGGGAUCCAGAUGGCUGAGGUUACUGGCCUCGUCCGGGCUCUGUGUGGACAACAAGUGACCACGAGCGUCCUGAUUUCCGACCACAUAAAACAGAAGUCCCAAACUCAGCGUGUCGGCCGGGCUGUGCUCCUUCUGGACACUGUAAGAAGAAUCUGUUCUGUCUUUUUCUGCAUCUGGAGGUGCCUUCAUCCCUGGGUUUAUGACCUCUGCCUCCAUCUUCAAAGUGGGCAGGGACGCAGCCUCAACCCCCUCCCUCUUCCUUCUUUCAAGGGCCCUGUGGUGAUGCUGUGCUUGCUCAGAUGACCCAAGACAAUCUCCCUGUUUUAAAAUUUGUAACCCAAUUGCACCUGCCACGUCCCUUCUGCUAUGUAAGGUCACAUACUGGCAGGUUCCAGGGAUUCAAACGGAGAUGUCCUUUGGGGCCAUUAUUCUGACGACCAUAGACGUCUGGGACGACCCUCCCCACCCCGCACUCGGCUACCUCCACCCAGAUCCUUGCCUCAGGCUCUGCCUCUGGAGGACUCAAACCCACCAGAUGCACGCUGCCCCUCGGCCCUUGCAGCUUCCUUGUCCUGUCCUAUAGGGAACCCAUGUGGGAUGUCUGUGUGGCACCUGACCUCAUGCUGCCGCCAUGCCCACCUGCAUCCUAGCGCACCCCCAUCAGCCGGUGUUCCCGGUGGCCCUGGAGUUUCCCCUCUGGAAGAGCAAGUUUUGUCUCCAAGUUGAUCCUGACGGCCUAUUCACCUUACAGGAAAGACCCCAAAUGAGGAAACAUUGGCUGCUUUCCCUGAACCUCCCAGCGCCCCUCUGCCUACUGUAGCUGGGAUCCCCAGGCUGCCAGGGUGCCUGAGACUGAGCGGACACCCUGCUCAGCUGAGGUGACCAGGCCACAGGACAGCGGGGCCUCUCUUGGUAGAGGGAAGAUUUUUUCCUACACUCCUGGGCCUGGGAGUUGAAUCUGGCUGCCCCAGUACAAAACCCAGCUCUUCCACUCCCUAGCUGGGUGACACUGGGCCAAUCAUUUCAUUUCCCUAAGCCUGCACUUUCCCAUCUGAGAAAUGGGACAGUAUUUACCUAGUCCAGGGAUGGUGCCGCAGAAGCCAAAGCUGCACUUGAGGAGAAGGCAGCGGCGGGAUUGGCCACAGCUCCACCAAGUCUGGACUUUAUCUUGAAAGUCCCUUGAGGCUUUCAUGACAUUGCUCAACUGGAG
Molecule: long non-coding RNA, 1399 nt
Filed under: Canis lupus familiaris (dog)
Lineage: Eukaryota; Metazoa; Chordata; Mammalia; Carnivora; Canidae
Description: lncRNA (ENSCAFG00040013824.1)
Source: RNAcentral